CCCUUAGAUGUUCUGGGCCGCACGCGCGCUACACUGAUGAAUUCAACGAGCACUAACCUGUGCCGAAAGGUUCGGGUAAUCUUGUGAAAUUUCAUCGUGAUGGGGAUUGAUUAUUGCAAUUUUUAAUCAUAAACGAGGAAUGCCUAGUAAGCGUGAGUCAUCAGCUCACGUUGAUUACGUCCCUGCCCUUUGUACACACCGCCCGUCGCUCCUACCGAUUGGAUGUGCUGGUGAAAAGUUCGGAUUAGGAGUGGGAGACGGCAACGUUUCCUACUUCCGAGAAAAUCUUUAAACCCUCCCAUCUAGAGGAAGGAGAAGUCGUAACA
RNAcentral lists this ribosomal RNA (326 nucleotides) under uncultured eukaryote. RNAcentral's name for it is "partial 18S ribosomal RNA". It matches the Rfam family "Eukaryotic small subunit ribosomal RNA", at positions 1470 to 1796 of the family's 1831-position model. The record is from RNAcentral.